GACGAACGCUGGCGGCGUGCUUAACACAUGCAAGUCGAACGGAAAGGCCCUGCUUUUGUGGGGUGCUCGAGUGGCGAACGGGUGAGUAACACGUGAGUAACCUGCCCUUGACUUUGGGAUAACUUCAGGAAACUGGGGCUAAUACCGGAUAGGAGCCCCUGCUGCAUGGUGGGGGUUGGAAAGUUUCGGCGGUUGGGGAUGGACUCGCGGCUUAUCAGCUUGUUGGUGGGGUAGUGGCUUACCAAGGCUUUGACGGGUAGCCGGCCUGAGAGGGUGACCGGCGACAUUGGUACUGAGAUACGGCGCAGACUCCUACGGGAGGCAGCAGUGGGGAAUAUUGCACAAUGGGCGGAAGCCUGAUGCAGAAACGCCGCGUGCGGGAUGACGGCCUUCGGGUUGUAAACAGCUUUCGCCUGUGACGAAGCGUGAGUGACGGUAAUGGGUAAAGAAGCACCGGCUAACUACGUG
RNAcentral lists this ribosomal RNA (468 nucleotides) under uncultured bacterium. Its description in RNAcentral is "partial 16S ribosomal RNA". It matches the Rfam family "Bacterial small subunit ribosomal RNA", at positions 28 to 507 of the family's 1533-position model. The record is from RNAcentral.